UACGUAGGUGGCGAGCGUUGUCCGGAUUUACUGGGCGUAAAGGAUGCGUAGGCGGAUAUUUAAGUCAGAUGUGAAAUUCCCGAGCUUAACUUGGGAACUGCAUUUGAAACUGGAUAUCUAGAGUGCAGGAGAGGUAAGUGGAAUUCCUAGUGUAGCGGUGAAAUGCGUAGAUAUUAGGAGGAACACCAGUGGCGAAGGCGACUUACUGGACUGUAACUGACGCUGAGGCAUGAAAGCGUGGGUAGCAAAC
RNAcentral lists this ribosomal RNA (250 nucleotides) under uncultured bacterium. Its description in RNAcentral is "partial 16S ribosomal RNA". It matches the Rfam family "Bacterial small subunit ribosomal RNA", at positions 524 to 773 of the family's 1533-position model. The record is from RNAcentral.